AGGGUUUGAUUAUGGCUCAGGACGAACGCUGGCGGCGUGCUUAACACAUGCAAGUCAAAGGAGAAAGACCCUUCGGGGACGAGUACACUGGCGAACGGGUUAGUAACGCGUAGGCAACCUACCCUAAAGUUUGGAAUAACUCCGCGAAAGCGGAGCUAAUACCGGAUAAUAUCCCAUCUCAUAAGAGGUUGGGAUUAAAGAAGGCUUCGGCUUUCACUUUUGGAUGGGCCUGCGUCUGAUUAGUUUGUUGGUGAGGUAAAGGCUCACCAAGACGAUGAUCAGUAGCUGGUUUGAGAGGACGAUCAGCAACAUUGGGACUGAGAUACGGCCCAGACUCCUACGGGAGGCAGCAGUGGGGAAUUUUGCGCAAUAGGCGAAAGCCUGACGCAGCAACGCCGCGUGAUCGAAGAAGCUCUGCGGAGUGUAAAGAUCUGUCAUAGGGGAAGAAAAAUUUCGUUAUUAACACCAUCGAAACGUGACGGUACCCUAUAAGAAAGCCCCGGCUAACUUCGUGCCAGCCGCCGCGGUAAUAC
RNAcentral lists this ribosomal RNA (533 nucleotides) under uncultured bacterium. Its description in RNAcentral is "bacterial SSU rRNA". It matches the Rfam family "Bacterial small subunit ribosomal RNA", at positions 8 to 526 of the family's 1533-position model. The record is from RNAcentral.